GUGAAUCAUCGAAUUUUUGAACGCAAAUUGCGCCUUUUUCGGAAGGCAUGUCUGUUUGAGGGCACCAUUUAACAAAUAAUGUGCUGCGCUUUUUGCUGCACACGUUGAUGAGCUUUCCAAGAAUUUUAAAUUUUUGGUGGCGCAUAAUGAACUGCGAGAAAGUUUUUUUAGUUCGAGUGUAGUAAAAUCUUUGUUUGGGUUGUGAAAAAAUAUAAUAGUGCAAUGGGUGUGGCUAUUUCUUUUUAUCCAUG
This 251-nucleotide unclassified non-coding RNA is filed under the name Paraglomus occultum. RNAcentral describes it as "partial contains 5.8S ribosomal RNA and internal transcribed spacer 2". The stretch from base 1 to 65 matches the Rfam family "5.8S ribosomal RNA", at positions 84 to 154 of the family's 154-position model. Lineage: Eukaryota; Fungi; Glomeromycota; Glomeromycetes; Paraglomerales; Paraglomeraceae. The record is from RNAcentral.